RNAcentral lists this ribosomal RNA (254 nucleotides) under uncultured bacterium. RNAcentral's name for it is "partial 16S ribosomal RNA". It matches the Rfam family "Bacterial small subunit ribosomal RNA", at positions 524 to 776 of the family's 1533-position model. The record is from RNAcentral.
UACGGGGGGGGCAAGCGUUGUCCGGAAUUAUUGGGCGUAAAGAGCUCGUAGGCGGUUUGUCGCGUCUGCUGUGAAAACUCGGGGCUUAACCCCGGGCCUGCAGUGGGUACGGGCAGACUAGAGUGCGGUAGGGGAGACUGGAAUUCCUGGUGGUAGCGGUGAAAUGCGCAGAUAUCAGGAGGAACACCGGUGGCGAAGGCGGGUCUCUGGGCCGUAACUGACGCUGAGGAGCGAAAGCGUGGGGAGCGAACAGG